UGCAGAAUUAAUUAAUGGUUAAAUUAGUUCUGAUCGAUUAACUAUUAAUGUUCUCUUGAACCUUCUUUUAGUGUUGUAGUUUGGCAGCCAUCCAGCAGAGGGCGCAGCUGGUCAUCCUGAAGCGGAGCCGUUGAUACAAGUUUAAAGAUGGCGGCCAAACAAGGACGGGAAAGAAAAACGGUCCCAACAGAUUACAGUUUUCCCCAGCGCAACGUAAAGAGCGACAUGUGACAGUUACCACGGACACGGGGAAGCAGACGGUGACCAUGACAACGUGGUGCAGGACCAUGAGGAACUCGCGACGCAGGAAGAUGCAAUGAUGUAGCCAGCUGAAGAAGCCAUGACUGCCUGAACUGAUGAUACCAACCUGAGUGCGAGAACGGAAAAACAAAAAAUAAAUCAGAAAAGCUGUUUAUUUCCCCCCUAUUUCUUUAUGUUGUAACCAGGGUUGUAAUAGUUUAGAUCACAUGUCAAACUCGAGGCCCAGGGGCCAAAUCUGGCCCGCCGUAGGUUUUUAUCUGGCCCUCAAAACUCCAGGUUACGUCGGUAAGUCUCCAGUUCUUCACAAAUUUG
This is a long non-coding RNA of Gambusia affinis (western mosquitofish), 573 nucleotides long. RefSeq lists it as uncharacterized. The transcript has 3 exons. The record is from RefSeq and is a predicted model, not a curated record. Lineage: Eukaryota; Metazoa; Chordata; Actinopteri; Cyprinodontiformes; Poeciliidae.